RNAcentral lists this long non-coding RNA (460 nucleotides) under Triticum aestivum (bread wheat). Its description in RNAcentral is "long non-coding RNA (TAES_LNC009984)". The stretch from base 131 to 245 matches the Rfam family "MIR1120/MIR1122 microRNA precursor family". The record is from RNAcentral. Lineage: Eukaryota; Viridiplantae; Streptophyta; Magnoliopsida; Poales; Poaceae.
UGACCGAAGGGGGCUUGCUGUGCGGGGUGGGGGUUGGUGGUACUUGCUAAGGUGGCUGGCGUAACUACUUUGUGCCGAUGGUUUGAUUGCACGAGUGGGAAUGUUGUGCCACUGCCCACGGGGUUACUCUCAUGUACUCCCUCCGUUCGGAAUUACUUGUCGCAAAAAUGAAUGUAUCUAGACGCCUUUUAAUUCUAGAUACAUCCAUUUUCGAGACAAGUAAUUCCGAACGGAGAGAGUAACUGUGUAGGAUAGGAGGUGGCCUGUUGUUACGGAAGGAAACCCCGUGAGUGCUUUGUUAACACUGGGUUCCAAAAAGUAAAUCAUUUGAAUGAUCACUUAGAGUUGUUCUGUUUCAAAUUAGCGUUUUUCACUAACAGGUAUCUUACUCCGACCCUGUUUCAUAGCUUUGGACAUGGAUUUUACAGCUCGAUUAAACAUGUCGUCCCACCUUUCUUCC